GAUGAACGCUGGCGGCAGGCUUAACACAUGCAAGUCGAGCGGUAACACUUCGGGUGACGAGCGGCGGACGGGUGAGUAAUACAUAGGAAUCUGCCUAGUAGUGGGGAGUAACGUAGGGAAACGUUACGCUAAUACCGCAUACAUCCUACGGGGAAAGGACAGGGGAGUCUUCGGACCUUGCGCUAUUAGAUGAGCCUAUGUCGGAUUAGCUAGUUGGUGAGGUAAAGGCUCACCAAGGCGACGAUCCGUAGCUGGUCUGAGAGGAUGAUCAGCCACACUGGGACUGAGACACGGCCCAGACUCCUACGGGAGGCAGCAGUGGGGAAUAUUGGACAAUGGGCGCAAGCCUGAUCCAGCCAUGCCGCGUGCGGGAAGAAGGCCUCGGUU
RNAcentral lists this ribosomal RNA (387 nucleotides) under uncultured bacterium. Its description in RNAcentral is "bacterial SSU rRNA". It matches the Rfam family "Bacterial small subunit ribosomal RNA", at positions 28 to 424 of the family's 1533-position model. The record is from RNAcentral.